CCCACUGUAGCUCAUUUGGUAGAGCUUGGCGCUUGCAACGCCAGGGUUGUGUGUUCGAUUCCCACGGGGGGGC
This 73-nucleotide transfer RNA is filed under the name Salmo salar (Atlantic salmon). It matches the Rfam family "tRNA". Rfam says of the family: Transfer RNA (tRNA) molecules are approximately 80 nucleotides in length. Their secondary structure includes four short double-helical elements and three loops (D, anti-codon, and T loops). Further hydrogen bonds mediate the characteristic L-shaped molecular structure. tRNAs have two regions of fundamental functional importance: the anti-codon, which is responsible for specific mRNA codon recognition, and the 3' end, to which the tRNAs corresponding amino acid is attached (by aminoacyl-tRNA synthetases). tRNAs cope with the degeneracy of the genetic code in two manners: having more than one tRNA (with a specific anti-codon) for a particular amino acid; and 'wobble' base-pairing, i.e. permitting non-standard base-pairing at the 3rd anti-codon position. Lineage: Eukaryota; Metazoa; Chordata; Actinopteri; Salmoniformes; Salmonidae. The record is from Rfam by way of RNAcentral.